UGAAGCACGGCAUUUUCCUUUGGUGUUUCUGUGCGGAAAGCCACCUCUGGAGGCGGACAGCCCUACGCGCUGAGAGACGACGCCCCUGCCAUGCCUCCUGCAAGCAGAGUCAGACAGGUAUCUGCACAGAGCUGAGGGGCCCAGGGUCUGAAGCACAGCCAGAGACACGAAGGGAGCAACAGACUCCACAAGGACUCCCUUCGGAGUCCAUUUGGAUUAAGGAUGUGCACUUGUUAGGGAGGAAGGGAGCGUUACAAGAGGUCUGAAGCCUACCUAAGUCCCCAGGUCAGGCAUGUGGCACAGCCGGGACUUGAACCUACCUCCAUUCAGCCAUCCAGAAGCUCACCCUCCCUCAGCCAGUGGGAAACUGAAGAUGCUAUGCAGCCUGCCAAGGUGCCAAACCCAGGGAGGCUCCCAGGACAGCCACGGCUCUGUGGCCUUGCUCCUGGCUGAGGGGUUUUCGGCUCCCAGCGCCGAGUGAAUGGAGACACCCCAAUAGCAGAGGACUCGUUCCGUGCCUUGGCUG
Lutra lutra (Eurasian river otter) is the source of this 526-nucleotide long non-coding RNA. RefSeq lists it as uncharacterized. NCBI's taxonomy places the organism in Eukaryota, Metazoa, Chordata, Mammalia, Carnivora, Mustelidae. The transcript is spliced from 3 exons. The record is from RefSeq and is a predicted model, not a curated record.